Molecule: ribosomal RNA, 492 nt
Filed under: uncultured bacterium
Lineage: Bacteria
Description: partial 16S ribosomal RNA
Rfam family: Bacterial small subunit ribosomal RNA
Source: RNAcentral
AGUGAACGCUGGCGGUAGGCCUAACACAUGCAAGUCGAACGGCAGCACAGUAAGAGCUUGCUCUUACGGGUGGCGAGUGGCGGACGGGUGAGGAGUACAUCGGAAUCUACUUUUUCGUGGGGGAUAACGUAGGGAAACUUACGCUAAUACCGCAUACGACCUACGGGUGAAAGCAGGGGAUCUUCGGACCUUGCGCGAUUGAAUGAGCCGAUGUCGGAUUAGCUAGUUGGCGGGGUAAAGGCCCACCGAGGCGACGAUCCGUAGCUGGUCUGAGAGGAUGAUCAGCCACACUGGAACUGAGACACGGUCCAGACUCCUACGGGAGGCAGCAGUGGGGAAUAUUGGACAAUGGGCGCAAGCCUGAUCCAGCCAUACCGCGUGGGUGAAGAAGGCCUUCGGGUUGUAAAGCCCUUUUGUUGGGAAAGAAAAGCAGCAGGUUAAUACCCCGCUGUUCUGACGGUACCCAAAGAAUAAGCACCGGCUAACUUCGUG